Amborella trichopoda is the source of this 14977-nucleotide long non-coding RNA. RefSeq lists it as uncharacterized. Lineage: Eukaryota; Viridiplantae; Streptophyta; Magnoliopsida; Amborellales; Amborellaceae. The record is from RefSeq and is a predicted model, not a curated record.
GAUUUUAUUUCUUUGCGUUGGUUGGGUUUUUGAUGUGGUUUUGGAUUUCCGAGGUGGUUUUGAUAUCUCUGAUGAUGGCAGCGAAUCAGUUCUUGUAGUUCCUGCUUUUCUUGAUUUAGUUCUUGUAGUUCGUGCUUUUCUUGAUUUUAAUUUACUUUUUUUUUUUUUUUUUUUUGAGAUUUCUUGUGUGUUCUUGUUUGUUUUGGUUUCUUUUUUGUUUACUGUGUUUUAUGAAGAUUCUUCUUUUUAAGUAGGAAUAUCUGGUCCUCUUCUAUUUUAGAGUUUGCCUUUUAUGAAGAUACUUCUUUUUAAGCAGGAAUAUCUGGUCUUCUUCUAUUUUAGAGUUUGCUCUCAUGGAGGUUUAUAGAGUGAUGGUUCUAUUUUUGUUUCAGAUUUACUUGAGAUCCUACAAGAAAGUGCGUUUGAAGGAUAUAAGCUCAUCCAAGCUCUGUAAGAUAAUUGAUUUUCUGUAACAUAAGCUUUUUGGUGCUUCUAUGCAGCAUCCUCGGAUUCUACUCCGGUAUUUUUUCUUGGUGAUUGCUUGCAGUUUAAUUGGUGAGGGCGGUUUGAUAGGAGGGUUAUAUUACGACUCCUCUUGGUGAGGUGUUUUGUAAAAUUGUGCUGAUAGGUUCCUUUUCUUCUUCACAUUUCAAGAGUUUUCUUCAUAUUUCAAGUGUUUUGAGGUGGUGGCUUAUGUAAUUGGGUUAAUUCUGGUUUAAUUCUGUUCGGUUGCUGGGUUUGAUCUCCAGAACUCUUCAAGAGUAGUACUCUGGGUUAUUUGUGUAACUUAUGCUGAUGGAAAAUGGCAAUCUUGAGAAAGUGGUGAUGUUCUGCAGUUAGGGGGUUAGUUAUUUUAGAAGGCUGGAUUGGUUUGAUUUCAGAUGGUAUUAUUCUAUUUAAGCAUUGUUGUGACUUGUCUGCAUAUCCAGCUCAGUGGAUGGGUGGAUGGGUUGAAGGGCCGGUUGUUGCAAUUAUAGGAAAUGUGUUGAAGUGCUUAUCUCCAUCCGUUAUUUUCUCAAAUGAUGGAUUCUGAGUUGAUCGGGCUUCGGGGAAACAAUUAUCUCUUUUUGGUCUAAGGUUCACAGAUGGUUCAUGUUUUUUGGGAAAACAGGUUUCCAUUUUGAUUUGAAGACAAGUUUCAAUUCUUUUAAUUGUGGUGGCAUGUAUUAAGUUUAUGGUGAACAAGUUAUCUCUGUCUGCCUUUUUGGGAUAUCUGGUAAUUCUUUUGGCUUGAUUAUACCAAGGUAACUGGUUGGAUGCUGCAGUGCAUCUACAACAAAAGUUGGUUUCUCAUAUCCCACUCUAUCUGGAUAUAGAAACCGAGUCCAGUUUGGAUCAGGACUGCCUGGGGACAGAUCACUAUUUUAGCAGAUGUGCGAUUUGAUUUGGUUUGAUAUUGUUUUUUAGAGGCCUGCUUUCAUAGGUGCUGUGACGUGCUUUUCAUGGAGGCAAUGAUGCAGGCAUGGAUGUACUAUUUUGAUGUUCCUCUUGAGAUUGCUGGUUUCUUUCUGGUCUAUAUUGAACUAUUUUUUAUCAGUGGCAUAUAAUUUAUUGGAUCAUUUGCGCUAAUCUCGACGACUAUAUGAACUAAAUUUUGACUGGAUUGGUUAGGGAGUUGUCUUGUGGCCAUAGCGUGUUAUUGUAGUUAUUUUGGGCGAUCUACUGAAUUCUCUCACUUUUAGUUAUGUGCUUUUUGUUUAGGUUUUCAUUUGUACUUGCGGCUUUUCGGAAUGGUUGAAGAUAGUCAUGCGAGAUUGCAAUCACAACUUAAAUUGGGGUUUUCUCUAGUUUUGGGCAGCUUUUAUGUUACCUUCCUUUAUGAGAUUCGACAUUUUUAGUUCAGUUUAAAUUUGGAGUUUCGGAGAUGAGUGGCCAUUAUUGUCAUUUGUUGGCAUAUUUGAUUAUAGGUGCAUCAAAGAUUUGAAGAAUGGCAUCUGUUUUCUGGUUCAAUCAGUUGAUCUAUUUACAAAUCAUACCAGCUUGACCCACUCGAACAUGAAGCCCAAAGAGAUUGUCUCAGGCCUCAUACUAUUGGUUUGGUUAUAUUUGAGUUUGAUAUUUAGUCUUAAUUUCUGGAGGCAUCUAGUAUUAAGCUCUUAUCUUCUGUUUCUGAAGUCUUAGUUUGCAAUGAUUAUUCUCCUUAGGUACCAUGGUGAUUGGUCGUUGCAGACGGUGGCACACCUGGGGCCGUUUUGAGUUUGUUGUGUUUCUGUGUGGAUUGACUUAUCUGGAUUCAACUUUGGUCCUUUCUUGUUGGCUAGCCUAGAGUUGCUUUUAUUUAUUAUAUGACGAUACUCGUGUGGCCUGGCGAUGCUGUAGGUGGGGGAGCUAUAUCAAUUGGUGGUUUGCUUAGUUGGCUUCAUGGCUUACUGCUGGUGGGAGGGCUCCAUUUGGUAUGUUUAAAUUAUAGUAAAGUGUUAUGGAUCUCUCAAAUGUAUAUAUGCUAGCUGUUGUUGUGUUACGGGUUUUGGUUGCCUCAUGUUGCUGGCAACCAUAUUUUUAGCUGAUCUGUAUUUGAGUUUCCUGUAGCAUUUUGUUGGGUGGCUGGCUGUUAGGUUUCUAUAUGCUUUAUUGCUGGAAGACAUGUGGACAAUAUGAGGUGACGAUAGUGCCAAGAACAUUCAAUUAUCAGAGACAUUUGUAUCAUUUAUCAUUUAUGGAACUCUGUUAAAUGGGCGUAAGUUAUCCUUGAUAUCUCUGGAUGUCAAUUUCUUUGAUGAUACACUCUAUAUUGGUUUCUGCCUGAUCUAUGAGGUGCAGGCAACCAGAAGGGUCACCACGAAUGGAAUGGGGACUGGUGCACAUGGUUAUUACUUGAGAUCUGUUUGCAAAAGAUGGUUUGAUCUGUCUCUUUACCUGACCUAUGACUUGAAGUUGUCUGAGUUGUCUAGUGUUGGAUUGAUUCUUGAGAUAUUUAUUUAUUGGAUAUUCAGAGAUCGGAGGUGGAAGAGAAGGGUUAUGGUGAUGUUGUCCGUUGGUUCUUUACUUUUUUAUUGGUCUGGGUCAGUUUCGUACAAUAAUGUAGUUUUUGCUCAUUGGUUGUAAAUGUUUAUAUGUUGAUUGUGAAAUCUUGAUUUGUAUUGAUUGUUCUCCUUAGGUACCAUGAUGAUUUGCCCUUGUAAUCGAUGGGGAACACAUUGGACUAUUUGGAGUUUGUCGUCUAGCAGUGUGUUUGGUUUUGUUUGGACCCAACGUUUGAACUUCUUUCUUGUUGUCUAGCCUGGGGUUGCUCUUUGUUAAUUAUAUCAUUAUUCCCUUCUCUCUCUCAAUGCUGUAGGUGGGGAACACAUUGGACUGUUUCGAGUUUGUUGUCUUAUGGUUGGUUUUGUUUGGUCCCAACUUUUGAACUUCUUUCUUGUUGUCUAGCCUGGAGUUGCUCUUUGUUAAUUAUAUCAUUAUACGCUUGUGUCCCUCGAUGCUGUAGGUGGGGGAGCUAUCUAUCAAUCGGUUGUUUGCCCAAUGGGAUCCAUUGUAUACGGCUGCUGUGUCAGCUCAAUUUAGUAUGGUUUAAUUAUAGUUUAGUGUUUUGGAUUUCUCAGAGGUAUAUACAUUGGCUGUUAUGUUGGUAGUUUAGGCUGCAUCAUUGUGGUAGCUACAAUAUUGUUAAUUGAUUUGUAUUUGAGUUUCUGGUUGCAUUUUGCUGGAUGACUUGCAGUUGGGUUUCUAUAGUUUGAGGUGACUGGAGCUCCAGGAACAUCGUUUACCAUUUAUAGAGCUAUGAUGAAGCAUCAUACUCUCUUGAUCUCUUUGGAUUUCAAUUUCAUUGAUGAUACAUUCUGCAUUGGUUUUCUGCCUGAUCUUCGUGGUCUCUGGGUAGUUGUGUCUUUGGUGUUUGUAUUAGUGAACUCUCCAGUGGUGGACUAGGAGCGCCAACACACAAGGAAUGGGGACGGGUACAUUGGGUUGUUAAUUGAGAACAGGUUGCAAAGUGAAAGAUGGUUUGAUCUGUGCCUCUUGUCCUGACCUUUCAUGUGAAUUGUAGUUUUUUGAGUUUAGUUUUGGAUUGAUUUUUACCAUCUUUUAGUCAUCGUUUGGUUUGAGAUGGAAAGAGAAUCAAAAGUCAACUGAGAUAUGCAUUUUUUGGUUUUUCAGAUAUUGGAGGUGUGGAAUAAAGGAGAUUUGGUGGUGUUGUUCAUUCACUUCUAAAUUUUUUUGGUGGUUCCUUUUGGUUUUUCAGAUAUUGGAGGUGUGGAAUAAAGGAGAUUCGGUGGUGUUGUUCAUUCACUUUUUAUUUUUUUGGUGGUUCCUUUUAUUCAAUAUUUUCUUUAGUUGAGCUCAUGUAGGAGUUGUUGUAUAUUGGUCCAUCCCUAUACUCUAUUCUCUCUCUUUAAAUAAGUUCUUGACAAUUUGUUGUGUUUGUUACUUUGGUAUUUGGGCGUUGCCUCGUAUUCUAUGUUUAUUUUGUUUUCCUUGAGAUUUGUAUAGUUUGAUUAUCAUUUUGGGCUUCAGCACAUUUUGUUAUCUGUUGUUUUUGAUUUGUGAUUGUGAAUUCUUAGUUUUUUAAUGAUUAUUCUCCGUAUUUACCAUGGUGAUUGGUCUUUACAGACGGUGGCACACAUGGGGCCGUUUCGUGUUUGUUGUCUGGCGGUGUGGUUUGAUUCAUCUGGAUUCAACUUUGGACCUUUGUUGUCGGCUUGACUAGAGGUUCUUUUUGUUAAUUAUAUGUUGACAAUCUUGCGGCCUGGCGAUGCUAUAGGUGGGGGAGCUAUAUAUCAUUUGGUGGUUUGCUAAAUGGGCUCCAUGGCAUACGGCUGCUGGGUGGGCUCUUUUUGGUAUGUCUAAAUUAUAGUGCAGUGUGAUGGAUAUCUCAGAUGUAUACGUUGGCUGUUGUUAAUGUUUGGGGUUUUGGCUGCAUCAUGUUGCUAACAACCAUAUUUUUAGCUGAUCUGUAUUUGAGUUUCCUGUAGCAUUUUUGGGUGGCUGGCAGUUAGGUUUCUAUAUACUUUCUUGCUGGAAGAUAUGUGGACAGUCUGAGGUGACGAGAGUGCCGAGAACAUUCAAAUAUCAGAAACUUGUGUACCAUUUACUUCGUAUCUUUGGAUGUCAAUUUCGUAGAUGAUACUCUCUAUAUUGGUUUCUGGCUGAUCUAUGAGGUGUGUAGGUAGGUCCAUUCUUGGGGUCUUUAACAGUGACUCUUCUGGACCAGAAACGCCAACACAAAUGGAAUGGGGUCGGGUGCACGAUGUUAUUAAUUGAGAUCUGGUUGCAAAAGAUGGUUUGAUCUGCCUUUUGCGCUAAACUAUUUGACUUGUUGUUGUCUGAGUUGUCUAGUGUUGGAUUGAUUCUUCCUUCCACCUAUAGGUGGGGAAGCUAUAUAUGGACUGAUUGUUUUCCCAAUGGGCUUCUUGACAUACGGCUGUUUGUUGGGCUCUAUUUUUUAUGUUUUAAUUAUAGUGAAGUGUUUUGGAUCAUUAUUAUUGGUGUGAUUCUGUAGGUGGGGAGGCUAUAUAUUUGCCCAAUGGGCUCCUUGGCAUACGGCUGCUUGGUGGCUUCUAUUUGGUAUGUUUUAAUUAUAGUGAAGUGUUUUGGAUCUUUCUGUGGUAUAUUAUACACUGGCUAUUUUUAUGUUCGGGGUUUUGGCUCCAUCAUGGUGCUAGCAAACCAUAUUGCCAGUUGAUUUGUAUUUCAGUUUCUUGUUGCAUUUUGUUGGAUGACUUGGAUUUCUUUAUGCUUUGCGAAUGGAACAUUUGGAAAGUUUUGAGGUGAUGAGAGUGCCAGGAACAUUCAAAUGUCAAAAACAUAGUGUACCAUUUAUAGACGUCUGAAAUGAAUGGGCGUAAGUUAUCUUUAAUAUCGUUGGAUGUCAAUUUCAUUUAUGAUACAUUCUAUAUUGGGUUUCUACCAGAUUUAUGAGGUGUCAGGGUAGUUCCAUCUUUGGCGUUUGUAAUAGUGACUAGCGCCAACCCAAAUGGAAUUCUUCGGUGUUGGAGAAGGAGCCCCAACCCAAAUGGAAUGGGGACGGCUAGACUGGGUUAUUAAUUGAGAACUAGUUGCAAAGUGAAAGAUGGUUUGAUUUGUGCGUCUUGCCCUGACCUAUGUGAAUUGCAGUUGUCUGAGUUGCUGUUGCUUUGAUCUAUAUUUUUCUUUAGUCACCUUUUGGUUUGAGAUGAAAUGAGGGUGAAGUCAAUUGAAAAGUGCAUAUAUUGGUUUUUCAGAGAUCGGAGGUGGAAGAGAAGCGAUUUGGUGAUAUUGUCCAUUCACAUUUACUUUUUAUUGGUGAUUCCUUUCAUUCAUGAUUUUCUUUAGCUGAUUUGCCUGUAGGAGCCAUGGUAUAUUGGUACAUCACUAUAUAGGAUGCUAUUAUGUCGCUCUUAUUACGGUCUUGACAAUAUGUGUGUUUUUUUCAUCUGUCUGGUCUUUUCCUCUUUAUUCUAUAUUUUAUUAUUUGCCUUGAGAUUUGUGUUUGUAUAUAGCUGGAUUCUCAUAUUUGGCUCCAACACAUUCUCGUAUCUUUCCCCCUCUUUUCUUUCUGACUGGAACAUGAGGACAGUAUUAGGUGUCACAAUUGCCAAAAAGCCCCCAAUUGUUAUUUUUAAGGUUUUGUGAUUUUAAUGUAUUUUUUGGGAGGGAAACUAUAGGACUUGUGAUUGUCUGUGUAAUGUAGAAGCCCCCAAAUUUUUUCCAACAAUUUUUUCUCAGUAGAUCAAAUUAUUGAGUAUCUUGGUGGUCAUUUUCGGGGAUCUUUCUUUUUGGUUUGGCUUUCUCUUCUUCUUGUCUAUUAAGGUUUCUCCCAUUGAUCAAGCUAGUUUGUUCUGUUCCUCUGUGGCCCAAGUGGGAGUGGGUGCAAACUCAAUAUCUGAUUGGCCUCGCAUUGAUUCAACAGGAGAUGUAUUGCAUUAUACAAUCUGAGAUAUUUUUGGCUUAGACAACUGGACCAAAAGAUGCAUUCUUGAGAGAGAAACUACUAGUAUGGGAUUUUCUUGGGUCUUCUGAUUUUUUUAGGUUUAUUGGUUCGACUCAGAUUUGUAUGCUCUUUAGUUUUUUGCUUCAAUUUCUUGUGUGCUUUUGAUUGUAUUCAUGUGCUCUUUAAAUUUUUUAUUUUUUUUUGUCAUUUUUGGGUAGCAUUUGUGGUUUAUAGGAUGAUGGUUGUGUUUUUAUUUCAGCGUACUUAAGUUGUGGCUUCAAAGGUCUAUGCUAAUCUAAUCAUCUACCCGUAAGAUAGUCCUUUGCGCGUUUUGUUGGGCCAUUCUUUCAUGAUUGUCUCUACCAAUACUCCAGUUUUCUCCCUCCGAUUCUUCUCUGGUAUUGUUUCUUGGUGAUUGCUUGCAGUUUAACGGUGACUGCUUGCAGUUUAACGGUGACUGCUUGCAGUUUAACGGUGACUGCUUGCAGUUUAACUGGUUUUGGUGGAUUUCGUCAACACUCGAGCAGCCCUCUGACUCUCCUCUAGGUGUGAUGUUGUUUUGUGAAGUUGUUAAAGAGGGGUUCUUUUGUUGUUAUGUCAAGCGAUCAUUGGAUGAGUUGAGGCAUGCAUCUUCUAUGGAUGAAGAGCAACAUGUUGAGGUGUUAUGUCAACCCAUGGAUUCCCUGAUGGUUUGUAGUGUUUUGGGAAGAUAAUUACUUCUUGAUGCCACUUUUCUAUUCCUCUAUGGUAUAAUCAUGAUCACUAUGUGCAAUUUUUUGGAUGCUUAAAUAUUGGGAGUACUCUUCGAUGAUUUCAUGAGGGGAGGAACUUUGCUGGAUGUUGUUGGGGCUCUUGGCAUAAGUUGUUCCUGCAUUUGAUAUCUACCUGGAUUUGAAUCUGGUUUGCGUUAUGGACUCAUUUUGUUUGGAUAUCCAUUAUGAGAUUAUAAUUGGGUUGGUAUUGUUUUUGGAGGCUUGCAUUUGCCUUGCUUUCAGGGUUCUGGCUUGUUGAAAGUUUUGUGCCAUUAGGUGCCUUGUGAUGCUAUUAUUGGAGGCAAUAGUGGAGGCGUACGUGGUAUUUGUUCGAUGUUCCUUUGAGUUUUCUGGAUUUCUUCUGUUGUGUUGAGUUAUUUUAUCAUGAACAUCUUUUUUAUUGUAUCAUUGCUGAACAUGACAAGUACUGGAGUUGGCUGUUUUGACUGGAUUGGUUCUAGAGUUAUGCAAGUUUUAUUUCUUGUGGUUUAGAUAGGCAGCUGAAUUUGCAGUUUAAUUAUUCACCAGAAAAAAAAUGUCAGUUUAAUUUGGUUUGUUUUUUAAGUUAUGAUGUGGAUGUACAUCUUUGAUUGAUGCAUAAUGGCUUGUGAUAGUUGUGUAAGAACAAUAGAGUUACCUACCUUGUCUCUUUGUUUUAUAUUUUUGUUAUGCUACAAAACUUUUUGGAGUUGUCCUUCGAUGGUUUUUGUGCCGAAAUGUAUCCGCUAGAGGUUUGGAAGAAGAUUGUUGUAGUCUUUUGAAAAGUUCAGCUGCAUAUCCAGUCUUCAAUGAUCUUUACAGGUCUUUAUUUGUUCUCGUCCUAGUUACACUCUUAUGCAUGUCAGUAUUGGCCCCCAUGUGUUUGUUCAAAUCAGUUGUUACCUCUUGUUGCUUGCUCUUCUUUGUGUCGGAGGUUUUUCUCUGCAUUGUCAUGAUUGAACGACUGAAACAUGGAUUGCUCUGCCACUUUAAUAAGAUACAUGGAUAUAUAUGGAUGUGUUGAAUCAUUAGUUUGUUUGUGUUUUAAGAUUGUUGGCGUUUUCUUUGUUGCAUCAGUUACAUGUUGAUGCUGGAUUCUCCAUUGUCGAGCACAUUGGGGAGGGAGAGUUGCUGGCAAAAUGCAAUGUUCGAUUUGAUGUACAUCUUGACCUGAAUCCCGUUAAUGCAUUGUGCGAAGACAUUGUGUUCAACAGUUGUGCUUGAUUUCAUUGGUGCUAUCUCAGGAAAAUGUGGUGGUGGUGGUCUUUUUUUUUUGGGGGUAUUUGUUGGUAUAGAUGCAAAGAUAAGCCAUUUGGGUACAUCCCAAAUUUACUUCUAUAGGAUUUCAGUGUCAUGCGAUGGCUUUAUGUAUGUUUCUGUUUCGAUUUUGAAGUUCUUAUUUUUUUUAUUAUUGAACAUGUAAAUAUUUGAUGGUGAGGUAAUGGUAUGCAUCUGCGUGCAUAGAAAUUUAAAUUUGAUCUCCCAUGUUUAGUUAAAUUGUCACUCUUAGCUUUUGGAAAUGAGAUCUGCAUUUGUACUUGUAUCCAAUCGAUUAUGCGUUCCUAGUCGAUGGUCGACAAUGUGAGCUUUUUAUAAAAAACUAGGUGUUUUUAUUUAUAUGUUUUUUUAUCAAAAGUAAAUGGCCUUAUUAAAUUAUUUAUAUUUUGUAAAUUUUACCCAUAUGAUAUAUGUUGGAAUUAUAAAUGUUUGUUUCGAGGGAGUGUAUUUGUAAAGAAAAGGAGAUGCCAUUUGUUAAGUCGAUUUCCAAUUGUAAAAACAUCCAAUCACGGGAUAAUAGCAUUAUUGUGGGGGUGCGGUAGAAAUUUUUGUCGAUUUGGAUGGGUUGUGUUUUGGAGUGUGUUGCGGUGACUAACUAAUUUAAGAUCUGUAAUUGCAUAUUAAAGCUGUAAUAAAGAUUUUAUUUUGACCCAGUUCUGGUUGGAAUUUGGAUGUUUAGUUUUGUGAUGUAGCCAACUGUGAGGGUGACAUGGAGCGUCGAAUUUAUUAUGGUCUCUGGGUCAUUAUUACCAGCAAGCAAUACUUUUUUCUCUAAAAUCUAAGAUCAUUGCUUUAAAAGAAAUUGAAUUUUGAGGUUCCAGCAAUUAUAUCGUGUCUCAUAAAAAACUUUCGGGUGGUCUUGUUCAAUGUUGAGAUAUUUUCUAUGUAUUUUAAUUUUUUUGUUCUCUUUCCUCCCCCCUGCCCCAAAAAAUUGGCCGUUAAGAUUAUAUUUUGCCUCAAAAUUUGGUGCCCGUUUGAUACCCUUAAAAUGGGUUUUCCUGGUGGGAGCAAGUAGGCUGUACGGAAAUAGAUGAAUAAACUAUAUGGCUUAUGCAAUGAACAUCAUUAGAAAGAUGGCGUAAAGCUUACAUGACAAGCAUCUGUUAAUUUCAUUUUAAAUCUGCCUACGAAUAUGAGUCACUUUGGUAACCAAACAUACUUCGAUAACCAAACAUGGUUGAUGUAUCUUGCUGUACAAAUAUGCAAGUAAAACAAUUUCACGCGUCUGAAAUUUCUUGAAAAUGUGUUUAACUAGGAAAUUGAUAUGGGAUCUCUAUUGCCACACGUGGUUGUUUUUAUUAUAAUGGCCUGCUUCUUGAUUUAAUUUGAGUUUAUAUGGUUUUUUUGUGUUUGAUUGUUUUGACUUUUUGAUUUUUAUACUUGUUUAUUUUCGGUUUCACGGUUCUAGUUUCAUUAUGCUUUCAUUUUGACUAAUGGGUUUUUGAGGUCUUGUGAUUACCUUUGAGUGGUGUUAUGGUUUUUUGUUUUUUUUUAUUUUUGGAUUUUGGUGAUGCUUCUUGGCAAAUCAUCUUCCUGAUUUUUUACGUUUCUUGAUUAUAAUACUAGGAUCGAUCUUUUUAUAAUUCCAAUUGUUUUGCUGUGGCAUUUUGGUUUGUUUUGGUUUCUUGAUUUUACUCUGUUCUAUAAAGUUCCCUAUAUGUAAUCACGGGCUCUUUAAUUAUGUUUUUGUCAUUUAAGGUUAUCAUUGUAGUUCAGGGAGUAAUGGUUAUAUUUUCUGUUUCUGAAAAUAGUUGAGACCUUACUAGAAUGUGUAAUUAAAGGAUCUUAAUCUACAGUGUAAGAUACUCAAUUCUUGGUUUCACGGUUCUAGUUUCAUUAUGCUUUCAUUCUGACGAAUGGGUUUUUGAGGUCUUGUGGUUACCUUUGUGUGGUUUUAUUUUCGUAUUUUUUUUAUUUAUGGAUAUUGGUGAUGCUUAUUGGCAAAUUACUUCUUAAUUUUUUACGUUUCUUGAUUAUAAUACUAGGAUCAUUUUAUAAUUCCAAUUGUUUUGCUGUGGCGUUUUGAUUUGUUUUGUUUUCUUGAUUUCACUCUGUUCUAUAAAGAUCCCUAUAUGUAAUUAUGGGCUCUUUAAUUAUGUUUUUUGUCUUUUUAGGUUAUCACUAUGGUUCAGGGAGUAAUGGUUAUAUUUUCAGUUUCUGAAAAUAGUUGAGACGUUACUAGAAUGUGCAUUUAAAGGAUCUUAAUCUACACUCUAUAAGAUAAUCAAUUCUCGGUUUCACGGUUCUAGUUUCAUUAUGCUUUCAUUCUGACUAAUGGGUUUUUGAGGUCUUGUGGUUACCUUUGUGUGGUUUUGGGUUUUUGAGGUCUUGUGGUUACCUUUGUGUGGUUUUAGGGUUUUUCGUAUUUUUUUUAUUUGUGGAUUUUGGUGAUGCUUCUUGGCAAAUCACUUCUUCCUGAUUUUUUACGUUUCUUGAUUAUAAUAUUAGGAUCUUUUUAUAAUUCCAAUUGUUUUGCUGUGGUGUUUUGAUUUGUUCCCUAUAUGUAAUCAUGGGCUCUUUAAUUAUGUUUUUUGUCUUUUUAGGUUAUCAUUGUGGUUUAGGGAGUAAUGGUUAUAUUUUCUGUUUCUGAAAAUAGUUGAGACCUUACUAGAAUGUGCAUUUAAAGGAUCUUAAUCUACACUCUGCAAGAUAAUCAAUUCUCUAUAAGAUAUGUUAUGGUGGCUUUAUGUGACAAUUAAAUUUCACAAUUUUUUGAUAUGGUUUAGGGAGUGAUGUUCUAUUUUGUGUUUCAGAGUCAUUUUUGUGUUUCACAAUUUGUUGAGUCUUUUUAGGUUUUUGUGUUUCACAAUUUUUUGAGUCUUUUUAGGUUAUCAAUAUGCUUUAGGGAAUGGUGGAUCUAUUUUGUGUUUCAGAGAAUGCUUGAGUUUGGUUUUGCGGUCUGUUGGUUAUUUUUUUGUGGUUUUAGGGUUUCUUUUUUAUAUUUUAUUUCUGAGUUCUUUUAGGACGCCCCUUUGGGUGAUAUUAUUUUGUGAAUUUGUCGAUGAGGGGUUCUUUUGUUCAAGAUCAAAUUUCUCUCUGGUUUCCUCUGUUGUUUGGUUAUUGAGCUAUCAUUGUGACCUGAUUUUCGAGGAAUAAGUUUUGAUGGUGGUACUCUAUUUCUAGGCCAUGUUGCUUUUGUGACACCGAUGCCUUAAGCUAAUGUUUGCCCACAUAAGCUGUUGGAUUACUUCUGUCCAGUUUGCCUCAGCAAGGUGUUUGAGAUUCAACAAUAUGUUUUUUGUAUAUUUCAAGAUUCAAGAUUAUUACUCUGGGUUAUUUGCAAUCAAUUUGAUGCUGAUUGAAGCUGGCUAUCUUGAGAUGGUAGUGAUGAGGUUUGCAAUUGUUUCAAAUCUUUUAAGGGAACAAAGCAAAUUAGAAGGCGUUAUUUCUUUUAAUAAUCUAACCGGUAUGUUUCAUGGAGUAUUAUUGAAUUUGCUUAUUGGGUUAUCUCUUCUGCAUGUGCGGAAGAUUCGAUGAGUUGAAGCACUUGGUGUGACAUUACUUCUGAUGAUAGGCACCAUGUUGUGUUGAUUAUUGGAAAUCAUGGAGUCACAGAUGGUCGUAGUGUUUUGGGAAAACAAUUACUUGGAAAAAAACAAUUACCCCUUUUGAUCGCACAUUUCAAUUCUUUCAAACUUGGUGAUAUAUAUUAGGUGUUCUAAUGAUCACUAAUGACUUGGAAAAAUUGCUGGAUGUUGCCAUGCUCCUACAACAAAAGUUAGUUCUUGGGUUCAAUAUCAACCUGGAAAUGAAUCUGCUUUGGACAUGGACUCUAUCGGUUAGGAUAAUCCGCAUCAGAUUUUUUUUUGGUUUGGUAUGGUUUGGUAUUGUUUUUCAUGAGUACUAGCUCAUUUCGCGCUGAAACUUUUUGUGCCCAUAGGUUCCAUGUGAUGCUCUUAUUGGAGGGAACAAUGGAUUCUGACAUGGCGUUUUGACAAGUAUGGGAACUGCUUUUUUUUUAUUGGAUUGGUUCUGGACUUGUGCGCGUCUGUAGAUCUGUGCUGUGGCCAUCGGGAUCUAUUUCAAGUGGUAUUGGAAGUCAUGCUAUCAAUGUGCGUCAUAGAUUUGAAGAAUUGUGGCGGCUGGUGUUUAUCGGAUGGAGUUCUCCCGUUAUGUUUAUUAAAAUGUUCAGUCGCACAUGGACAAGUGGAAUUUACUCAAUAGGACAUGAAGAGAUGGUCUUAGAUGUCGAACUAAUUGGUUGGGAUUUUUUUUAACUCUAUUGCUUUCUACUUAAUUUCUAGAGGUGUUUUUUUGGGUAUUAAACUCGGUUCCUGUUAUCUUUGUUGCCUGCUUACAAUAGUGAUUCACUUGCAAUUCUUUUGUUUGGUCCAUGGAUACACAUUUAUCUAUCUAGAUGGUGUUUGUCCUGAUGCUUAUUCUGUGGAUCAUGUUUUAUCAGUUUGCUUGGUUUUGUUUUCCAAAUUCCAGGUUGCUCAAUGAGGUACAUGUGCUUAUCUCAAGAUUGAAUGUUGAAGCUUUUCUUUCUUUUUUCUUUUUUUGGGAGGGGAGAGAGAAAGGGGGGGCGAGCGGGGGUGUUAUUUUUCGUAAAUGCUGAUUGGUUUGGAUCCAAACUGGUUUAUUUUAAGUGCCAUCAUAGUGACUUGGAUAUGUUUCUUUUGAAUUUGUAGCUCAUUGCAAGUUUGUGGUUAUUGGCUUUUUGAUUAGGGGAUUUACUUCGGCUGGUUUAGUGGUUUGAAAGAUCCAUAUGAUUUUAUUCCGUUUGUUUUAGAGUAGUAUUAAUUUGCUUCUUGUUGUCGAGAAAUGUAAUCAUCUCGCCCAUGCUUGCGGUUGUUUGAAAUAAAUCGUUAGGCUAGUCUUCAUUGCAAUUCCAAGGGUGGUUAUCUUAUUUUGGCUAACUUCUGUUCUAGCUCCUUCCUUUGAAUCUUGAUGGUGAAUCAAAGGAAUGGAUGACUAAUAUCUCUCACGUCUUAAGUCUCCUUUUGACUUAGAUCGACGAUCAAGAUUUGAUCUCACUGAAGAUGGCAAGUCUUAAGGCAUAAAAAAUCUAUAAAAAGGGACUCUUCUCGGUUACCAAAUUCUCUACACACCUUCUCUCUCCUCUCUCUAAAAGUUCUCUCUCUCCCUAGUUGUUAAAAAAGGGGCACACCUCGGAUCUAGCUCUCUCUCUCUCUUUUGGUUGCUUCGAACGGGGGCCACGCCCUAAGUAGUAGUUUCACUCUCUCUGAAGUUGGUAAAGGAGAGGGAGCAAACCCAUGCUAGGUGUUGGUAAAGGAGAGGGAGCAAACCCAUGCGAUGUAGGUUGCAAAGGGGGCCAAACAAAGUUAGUAGAUUUCUCUCUUUGAUUUUUAUUUCUUAUCUAUCUAAAGAUCAAGCAAGGGGGUUUGUGUAAGAUUAAGGCAGUGAGGCCUUAGGUAGUUAGUUUUAGAUCGAGAUCCAUAUACCAUUGAGAGGGUUUUAUCAUAAGUAGGAGAAUCAAGAGACCGAUGAGAUUCGGCGCAAGGUGUACUAAGCCCUCAGUAAUUUUACUUCUUUAAAAUUUAUUUUUGUGUUGAGCUCUUUUAUUCCCAUAAAGCAAUAAAUCAAUGUUUUGAUUUAAGGAAUUGUAUUCAAUAGUGGUAGCAAGUGAGAAUCAUGUUUCUUUUCUUUUAUUUAUUUGUUUCAAGGGUUAUCUAUUUGUACUUGGACGUUGUGAGUGGUAUUGUUGGUGCAAGAAAAAAAAAAAAAAGUAAAAUUUUAGUUUAUAUACAUCGUGCUUGAUCACAUAGUCCAACUUUCGUCGGUAUCAGAGCUGGAUCUACUUGCUGCCUUAUUUCUUUUAUUUCACUAUUUUUGGUGAGUUGGGAAUGAGAUAUAAGAAAGCCCUUGACUUUUGUGGUCAAGAAUUAUUGGCAUGUUCAAAUACCGAAAAAGCACUCUGCAGGAAAUGGUAUUUUGUGCUGCAUUCAAGCAGUGAUAUGAAGAAGAUAAUGAGGUAUUUCUUUGAUGCAUACUUCAAUGAUACUAUGUAUUUAUGAGAGUAAGAUCUAUUUGCAAAAUUUCAGUAGGAAAUCUUGAGGGAAUUGAGAGUUAUGGCCUCAUGAAAGGUGUCAGUUCUAAGCUUGAAAAAAUCUAGGAACUGUCCAUUGAGUUCCAUGAAUUUUUCCACCAAUCAUAUUAUUUU